RNAcentral lists this ribosomal RNA (450 nucleotides) under uncultured bacterium. RNAcentral's name for it is "partial 16S ribosomal RNA". It matches the Rfam family "Bacterial small subunit ribosomal RNA", at positions 354 to 796 of the family's 1533-position model. The record is from RNAcentral.
GUGGGGAAUAUUCCGCAAUGGACGAAAGUCUGACGGAGCAACGCCGCGUGAGUGAUGAAGGUUUUCGGACUGUAAAGCUCUGUUGUUUAGGACGAAAGUGCCUGUUGCGAACAGUUACAGGUAUUGACGGUACUAAACGAGGAAGCCACGGCUAACUACGUGCCAGCAGCCGCGGUAAUACGUAGGUGGCAAGCGUUGUCCGGAAUUAUUGGGCGUAAAGAGCAUGUAGGCGGAGAUUUAAGUCUGUUGUGAAAAUGCGGGGCUCAACACCGUAUUGCGAUGGAAACUGAAUUUCUUGAGUGCAGGAGAGGAAAGAGGAAUUCCCAGUGUAGCGGUGAAAUGCGUAGAUAUUGGGAGGAACACCAGUGGCGAAGGCGACUUACUGGACUGUAACUGACGCUGAGGCGCGAAAGUGUGGGGAGCAAACAGGAUUAGAAACCCGGGUAGUCC